GCCGGCGUGGCGGAAUAGGUAGACGCACAGGACUUAAAAUCCUGCGGGAGUUAAAUCCCGUACCGGUUCGAUUCCGGUCGCCGGCA
RNAcentral lists this transfer RNA (86 nucleotides) under Eubacteriales bacterium. Its description in RNAcentral is "tRNA-Leu". It matches the Rfam family "tRNA". From Rfam's summary of the family: Transfer RNA (tRNA) molecules are approximately 80 nucleotides in length. Their secondary structure includes four short double-helical elements and three loops (D, anti-codon, and T loops). The record is from RNAcentral. Lineage: Bacteria; Bacillati; Bacillota; Clostridia; Eubacteriales.